This 1031-nucleotide ribosomal RNA is filed under the name Arthrobacter sp. H21. RNAcentral's name for it is "bacterial SSU rRNA". It matches the Rfam family "Bacterial small subunit ribosomal RNA", at positions 60 to 1102 of the family's 1533-position model. Lineage: Bacteria; Bacillati; Actinomycetota; Actinomycetes; Micrococcales; Micrococcaceae. The record is from RNAcentral.
AGUCGAACGAUGAUCCCAGCUUGCUGGGGGAUUAGUGGCGAACGGGUGAGUAACACGUGAGUAACCUGCCCUUGACUCUGGGAUAAGCCUGGGAAACCGGGUCUAAUACUGGAUAUGACCUUCUGGCGCAUGCCAUGUUGGUGGAAAGCUUUAUUGCGGUUUUGGAUGGACUCGCGGCCUAUCAGCUUGUUGGUGGGGUAAUGGCCUACCAAGGCGACGACGGGUAGCCGGCCUGAGAGGGUGGACGGCCACACUGGGACUGAGACACGGCCCAGACUCCUACGGGAGGCAGCAGUGGGGAAUAUUGCACAAUGGGCGCAAGCCUGAUGCAGCGACGCCGCGUGGGGGAUGAAGGCCUUCGGGUUGUAAACCUCUUUCAGUAGGGAAGAAGCGAAAGUGACGGUACCUGCAGAAGAAGCGCCGGCUAACUACGUGCCAGCAGCCGCGGUAAUACGUAGGGCGCAAGCGUUAUCCGGAAUUAUUGGGCGUAAAGAGCUCGUAGGCGGUUUGUCGCGUCUGCCGUGAAAGUCCGGGGCUUAACUCCGGAUCUGCGGUGGGUACGGGCAGACUAGAGUGAUGUAGGGGAGACUGGAAUUCCUGGUGUAGCGGUGAAAUGCGCAGAUAUCAGGAGGAACACCGAUGGCGAAGGCAGGUCUCUGGGCAUUAACUGACGCUGAGGAGCGAAAGCAUGGGGAGCGAACAGGAUUAGAUACCCUGGUAGUCCAUGCCGUAAACGUUGGGCACUAGGUGUGGGGGACAUUCCACGUUUUCCGCGCCGUAGCUAACGCAUUAAGUGCCCCGCCUGGGGAGUACGGCCGCAAGGCUAAAACUCAAAGGAAUUGACGGGGGCCCGCACAAGCGGCGGAGCAUGCGGAUUAAUUCGAUGCAACGCGAAGAACCUUACCAAGGCUUGACAUGAACUGGAACAGCGCAGAGAUGUGUUGGCCGCUUGCGGCCGGUUUACAGGUGGUGCAUGGUUGUCGUCAGCUCGUGUCGUGAGAUGUUGGGUUAAGUCCCGCAACGAGCGCAAC